CUCAGUUAGUUGAUAGAUCAAAAUUUAAAUAAGCUCAACAAAGUUUAUGGUUGUUUUUGUUUGUUUGGUGCUAAAGUGGAAGGGGAAAGAGUGAGAACUGAAAUGAACCCUUAAUUUUUUACCUUGCUCCCAUCUUGUCACCAUCAAUUCAAACAAGUAUAUACUUCUUUCAAUAUCAGAUGUUAUUUAACCAUUACACUCAACCUCUAUAAUAUCAAUGUUAAGCAAGUGAAUAGUGUGAGUUAUAAGAAUACCAUCGAAUUGUUAUUAUAUAUGUGUGAUUUAAAUGUAAUCGAACUUGUUUUUUACCUUUUGUGCUAUAACUUGUUUGUAUUACUGUUUGUUUGUGCUUUUCCUUGUUUGUGAAAUACUUGUUUGUGCUAUAACAUGUAUGCAUUUGUGCCAUAUAUGAUACUAUUAAUUGCUUUUUACCUUAAUAAUAGAAAUCAAAAGACAAUGUAAAAUUCUAAGUAAGUCUAAAAGAUGAUAAAAGAAAGGAGCUGAUUAAUUUUAAUGUUAAACGUUCAAGCGUGUCCUUAAAUAUGUGUGCUUUUAAAACCCAUGUGCUCUGGAUAGGGCUACUUCUCAGUUAAUACCAAAUUCAUGAUUUAUAAAUGCUUGUGCUUGCCAUAAAUACACAUGCUAAUCCCAAUAGCAACUGCGUGUGUUAGCGUCUGGCGUACUAAAUUAUAAUCCUGGUACCUUUGAUAACUAUUAGCCAAGGAGUUUCGAUUCGAGUAUAUGGACUGUUUGGUUGAAC
RNAcentral lists this long non-coding RNA (760 nucleotides) under Mytilus galloprovincialis (Mediterranean mussel). Lineage: Eukaryota; Metazoa; Mollusca; Bivalvia; Mytilida; Mytilidae. The record is from RNAcentral.